UUUCCGUAGGUGAACCUGCGGAAGGAUCAUUACCGAGUUAGGGUGUCGCCUCGGCGCGCCCGACCUCCCAACCCUUUGUCUACCUUACCACACCGUUGCUUCGGCAGGCCGCGCCGACCCCCGGGAUCCGUCCCUGGGGCGAGGCCGUCGGGGGCCCUCGUGCCCCGGGCUCGCGCCUGUCGAUGGCCACUAUCAAACUCAUGUCUAAACGUGUCGUCUGAGUAAAAUAUUAAAUACAAACCAAAACUUUCAACAACGGAUCUCUUGGUUCUGGCAUCGAUGAAGAACGCAGC
RNAcentral lists this unclassified non-coding RNA (293 nucleotides) under uncultured fungus. Its description in RNAcentral is "sequence contains ITS1, 5.8S rRNA gene". The stretch from base 245 to 293 matches the Rfam family "5.8S ribosomal RNA", at positions 1 to 49 of the family's 154-position model. The record is from RNAcentral. Lineage: Eukaryota; Fungi.